RNAcentral lists this ribosomal RNA (500 nucleotides) under uncultured bacterium. Its description in RNAcentral is "partial 16S ribosomal RNA". It matches the Rfam family "Bacterial small subunit ribosomal RNA", at positions 29 to 523 of the family's 1533-position model. The record is from RNAcentral.
AUUGAACGCUGGCGGCAUGCCUUACACAUGCAAGUCGAACGGCAGCACGGGUGCUUGCACCUGGUGGCGAGUGGCGAACGGGUGAGUAAUACAUCGGAACGUACCUUAUCGUGGGGGAUAACGCAGCGAAAGCUGUGCUAAUACCGCAUACGCCCUGAGGGGGAAAGCGGGGGAUCGAAAGACCUCGCGCGAUUAGAGCGGCCGAUGCCUGGUUAGCUGGUUGGUGGGGUAAAAGCCCACCAAGGCGACGAUCAGUAGCUGGUCUGAGAGGACGAUCAGCCACACUGGGACUGAGACACGGCCCAGGCACCUACGGGAGGCAGCAGUGGGGAAAUUUGGACAAUGGGGGCAACCCUGAUCCAGCAAUGCCGCGUGAGUGAAGAAGGCCUUCGGGUUGUAAGCUCUUUUGUCAGGGAAGAAACACCGGCUCUAACACAGUCCGGGAAUGACGGUACCUGAAGAAUAAGCACCGGCUAACUACGUGCCAGCAGCCGCCGUAA